This 446-nucleotide ribosomal RNA is filed under the name uncultured bacterium. RNAcentral's name for it is "partial 16S ribosomal RNA". It matches the Rfam family "Bacterial small subunit ribosomal RNA", at positions 338 to 795 of the family's 1533-position model. The record is from RNAcentral.
CCUACGGGCGGCAGCAGUCGAGAAUCAUUCACAAUGGGGGAAACCCUGAUGGUGCGACGCCGCGUGGGGGAAUGAAGGUCUUCGGAUUGUAAACCCCUGUCAUGUGGGAGCAAAUUAAAAAGAUAGUACCACAAGAGGAAGAGACGGCUAACUCUGUGCCAGCCGCCGCGGUAAUACAGAGGUCUCAAGCGUUGUUCGGAAUCACUGGGCGGAAAGCGUGCGUAGGCUGUUUCGUAAGUAGUGUGUGAAAGGCGCGGGCUCAACCCGCGGACGGCACAUGAUACUGCGAGACUAGAGUAAUGUAGGGGGAACCGGAAUUCUCGGUGUAGCAGUGAAAUGCGUAGAUAUCGAGAGGAACACUCGUGGCGAAGGCGGGUUCCUGGACAUUAACUGACGCUGAGGCACGAAGGCCAGGGGAGCGAAAGGGAUUAGAUACCCGGGUAGUC